Molecule: unclassified non-coding RNA, 210 nt
Filed under: uncultured Clavariaceae
Lineage: Eukaryota; Fungi; Basidiomycota; Agaricomycetes; Agaricales; Clavariaceae
Description: sequence contains ITS2
Source: RNAcentral
AUCUAUCAACCCAACAUAAAUUUAAUCUUGUGAUUGGUGUUUGGAUGAUGAAGGUUGCUGGAAUCAAUCUCAGCUCCUUUAAAAUGCAUUAGCGGAACUUUGUAUCAGCUUUGGUUUGAUAAUAUUUUAUCCACACUGUUGCUGGUAAACAUGGUUCAGCUUCAAAUUGUCUUAUUCGUGAGACUGUCCAAUUUUUGGGCAUUACUUUGA